CGAAGGGGCGUAGCGUUGCUCGGAAUUACUGGGCGUAAAGGGCGCGUAGGCGGCUUGAUAAGUCAGGCGUGAAAUUCCUGGGCUUAACCUGGGGGCUGCGCUUGAGACUGUUGAGCUGGAGGUCAGAAGAGGGUCGUGGAAUUCCCAGUGUAGAGGUGAAAUUCGUAGAUAUUGGGAAGAACACCGGUGGCGAAGGCGGCGACCUGGUCUGAUACUGACGCUGAGGCGCGACAGCGUGGGGAGCAAACAGGAUU
This 254-nucleotide ribosomal RNA is filed under the name uncultured bacterium. RNAcentral describes it as "partial 16S ribosomal RNA". It matches the Rfam family "Bacterial small subunit ribosomal RNA", at positions 526 to 779 of the family's 1533-position model. The record is from RNAcentral.